UGCAACCUCAUGGUUACUAGUCAGGUUCGUUUCCACUGCAUCACAGUGGGAACUCCCCAGGAAUUGAAAACUUUGAAGAACACCUGUUUCUGGCAAGCAUGCAGAGAUGGGUGUUGAAUCGUCCCUAGAGACAGUGACAGUGUUAAGAUCUCUGGCCGUUUUUGACAUUAUGAUAAUUAAGCAUUCAUAGGCAGGCCAUAUUCAACUGUACAGGUUUUGCCUUAUAUAAUGAUAGUGAUGUAUGCAGAACUUAACAUGUCUGUAUGUGUUAACUCUGGGGGUGAAUAAGACGGGAAACACUCCUUUACUUCAGAAAUCUACAUUUUAGUGGGCCAGAAAGGUAAUAAACCAGUAGAUGAGUAUGUAUGUGAAAUGUAUCAGAUAAAAAUAAGUAUUAUUUAUACAAAUAAUUCAAACAGUUUGAUGUGAUGGUAGUCUAGUGGCUAGUUUAGAUGAGGUGGUUAGAAAGAAAUAAUAAAAUGAAAAGAAAUGAUGAUUUAAAAAUAAAAUCUUGGAGUUCCCUUCGUGGCUCAGCGAUUAAGGAACCCAACUAGGAUCCACGAGGAUGCCAGUUUGAUCUCCAGCCUUGCUCACUGGGUUAAGGGUCCGGCAUUGCCAUGAGCUGUGGUGUAGGUGGAAGACAUGGCUCUGAUCCUGCAUUGCUGUGACUGUGGCCUAGGCCAGCAGAUACAGCUCUGAUUCGACCCCUAGCCUGGGAACCUCCCUUUGCCAUGGGUUAUAGUUUUGUGUAACCAUUUAACGUCAAAUUUUUUGCAUUUAACUCAGUGACAAGAUUCCAAGUGUAAUAAAACAAGGUUUUAAAAACUUUGAAUAACUUUAUUUGUAUUUUUAUACAAGAGUUUUUUUCUUAAGUAUUCAGUGAUAACAGAUCUAAGAUUGGGAAGACAAUACUUUGAGGAUAACUCACCUGUCUUAGUUAAAAAUGCAUCUUUAAUUUUUCUGUCUUAUGAGCAGUUUUGUUUUUGUGUUCUUGCAUUGUUUGGUUCAAACUGUUGCUUUUUCAGAGGAUAGCAUACUGCCUUCCAGCCUAUUUUCCAAUUUUUUUUUUCAAACAAAUCAUUUCCAUGUCACCACUUGGGUUUUAUGUCCAUCAUUUUGAAUAGCUUCAAAAUAGAAGAUCAAUUUGGUAUGCCAUAAUUUAUGUAAUCAUCCUUAUUUUAAUAAUUUUUGAUUGUUUCUAGCAAUUUGCUAUUGUAAGUUAUUCUAUGAUAGACAUUUUGUGGCCCUCAGAUUUUUUUUUUCUGUAUUUGGAUAUCUUAAGGGAGAUUGUCCAGGUGUGAAUUUCUAAGUAUUAGUUUUUUUUAUCUAAAGAGUGUAAACAUUUUUUAAUAGAAAUUAAGGAAGUUUUGAUUUUAUGAUUAUGUCAAAUCGUGAUUAGACAGUCUAUGAAGGUUUUAACUAGAAGAAACAGAAGAAAAAAUUUCUGAAAGAGAAACUAUCUGUUGACUCUUCUACCAGGUUUAGAACUAGAGUUUUUAGUAGAGUUUUGGUAAAGUGUAAUGGAAGCAGUGCUUUAAUAAAGUAGGUAAUCGAAGCUUGGAACUGCUUAUAUUUAUCAAAAAACAAUUUUAAAGUGUAACUGAUCUAAUUUAUCUUCUCAUAUCUUAAUUUAUGUCUUUGGAAUCCUCUGGAAACAAAAAAGAUAAAAGCAGAUAGUUCUACUAAUCUUCAACUGUGCAAAUCAUUUCUUUCUCUUAUGGUCUUCAAUUCAUUCUACCACACUUUUAUGGGCCUCUCACCCUGUUAUUUGUUCUACUGCAUUUUAUGGACUUACUCAGAGAUUGGACUUAAAAAAUUUCAACUUGAAGAUUGAAAAGACUGGAGAGAACCUUUGUCAUCUUGCAUUCUGAACAUUACUUUUCUGGCCACCUAUCAUAGGUGAAUGGAUGUUAUGAUACCAAAGUCUUUGCCUACAAAGAAUUUAUAGAUAAAUAAAACUAGUAAGAGUUUACAGAUAAAUAAAACUAAUGAGUAAAAUACUUUAUUAUGUGUGUGUUCUUGAGACCCAGUAAGCAAAAUUACUUGCUCGUGAGUGUAUAACAAUUUUCCUUUCCAUUGACCAGUGAAAUCUUGAGAAGGUCCAAAGUGGUUAGUAAUGGAUGUUACUGUUUCAUAAAUUGCAUUUCUUCUCUUGUUUAUCAGGAUUUUAUUAUCUAACAAAACCACUAUAAAUUCUGUCCUUAUGCCAUAGAAGUGUAGCACGUAUAGUAACUGUCACUAAGAUGAAGCAUUUUUGUCCUCGACAUAAAAUAGUACACAAUAUAUUUAAAUUUAAAGUGUCUAUUUUCUGUUUACUUCCUGGUGUAAAAAAGAAAACAGUGAAAAUAUCUGAGCUGGUAAAGUUUUUUAUUUUGUGCACCCAGCAUCCAGGAAAAUACUUUGUUACUCUGUUUAGAUCCUUUAAAACAAAGUUUAUUAUUUUUAAAAAAAGUUCAAAAUAGUUAUCCCACUACUUUUCAGAGUAAUGAAUUUUACUUGGCUUGCUUAAGUAAGGAUUUUGUCUUGAAGAUGGAGUAUCUGGCAAAUUAAGGAAGUUUUGGGGUAAAGUAUAAGAAUUUUAUCUUCAAUUAUUCAUCUCUUCCAAAGGCAAGUAGCAACAGAUACUCUUAAAAUAAUAGCUCUGGGAGUUCCCGUUGUGGCUCAGCAGUAAUGAACCUGACUGGCAUCCAUGAAAACAUGGGUUCUAUCCCUGGCCCUGCUCAGAGGGUUAAGGAUCUGGUGUUGACGUGAGCCGUGGUGUAUGUUGCCGAUGCAGCUCAGAUCUGGUGUUGCUAUGGCUGUGGCCAGCAGCUGCAGCUCUGAUUCGACCCCUAGGCUGGGAACUUCCAAAUGCUGUG
This 2858-nucleotide long non-coding RNA is filed under the name Sus scrofa (pig). RNAcentral describes it as "lncRNA (ENSSSCG00040033677.1)". The record is from RNAcentral. Lineage: Eukaryota; Metazoa; Chordata; Mammalia; Artiodactyla; Suidae.